AUUUCCAAUAUUUCUCUACUCUUUUAUUAAAAUUAAAAAAUCCCUUUUAUACACCCAAUGAUACUUGACUUAAUUUUUUACAUUGGAAAUCAAAACUUGAACUUACCCAUCCCCAAAAAUUUCGCCCAAAUUCCCCCACCCCCCUUAAAAUUUUCGGAUAAAUUUUAAAACUAAAUUUGAAAUUCAAAAAAAUUCAAUCCCUAUUCUUCCGCUUUAGAGCUUCUCAAGUAAAUUUUCUUCGAUUCUUUUAAAAAAAAUUUGUGUAUGUAAUAUUCUGCAUUUUCUAAAAAAAUUAUAGUUUUCUUUCCAGAAUCGAAAGUUUCGAAGAUUUGAGUUCUAAAUCGUUCCAUGACCCUAACAAGAUCGAAAUAACAAUCCUUAUUCAUCCGAUUUAGAGUUGAGAAUUUGUUUAUCAUCUUCUCCAAAGCGAAAGUUUUGAAGAUUUGAGUUCUAAAUCAUUGCAUGACUCUAUAAUCAUGACAAAUCCAAGUUCUAGCAAGAGAUCUUCUUCAAAGAAUAGACAUUCAUCAACUUCAAAAUACCCAAAAACCCCAAAGAAAAGGGGUAGAAAGGCGGCACCUCCGAUCAUUCGACUAACACCACCUACGGUAUCAACAUUUGUAUCCCUAUCCAUCCUAAUUUUUGUAUCUUUCAGUAGUUGGAUGAUUCUUUUUUUUUAAAGUAUCGUUUAUUUCAUUGCACUCAUGAAACACAGAAUAUUGUUGAUACUUUUAUGUCUUACACAUUCCUUAAUAUUUCAUAGAUAAAAUUUUAAGUAUCGAUU
Non-coding RNA from Solanum lycopersicum (tomato), 784 nucleotides. Lineage: Eukaryota; Viridiplantae; Streptophyta; Magnoliopsida; Solanales; Solanaceae. The record is from RefSeq and is a predicted model, not a curated record.